GAGGGUAUAGCUCAAGUGGUAGAGCACAUGCUUAGCAUGCACAAGGUCCUGGGUUCAAUCCCCAGUACCUCCC
Molecule: transfer RNA, 73 nt
Filed under: Camelus bactrianus (Bactrian camel)
Lineage: Eukaryota; Metazoa; Chordata; Mammalia; Artiodactyla; Camelidae
Also listed under: 2 other names
Rfam family: tRNA
About the family: Transfer RNA (tRNA) molecules are approximately 80 nucleotides in length. Their secondary structure includes four short double-helical elements and three loops (D, anti-codon, and T loops). Further hydrogen bonds mediate the characteristic L-shaped molecular structure. tRNAs have two regions of fundamental functional importance: the anti-codon, which is responsible for specific mRNA codon recognition, and the 3' end, to which the tRNAs corresponding amino acid is attached (by aminoacyl-tRNA synthetases). tRNAs cope with the degeneracy of the genetic code in two manners: having more than one tRNA (with a specific anti-codon) for a particular amino acid; and 'wobble' base-pairing, i.e. permitting non-standard base-pairing at the 3rd anti-codon position.
Source: Rfam by way of RNAcentral